This is a long non-coding RNA of Hydra vulgaris (swiftwater hydra), 1641 nucleotides long. RefSeq lists it as uncharacterized. Lineage: Eukaryota; Metazoa; Cnidaria; Hydrozoa; Anthoathecata; Hydridae. The record is from RefSeq and is a predicted model, not a curated record.
GUUGCGAUUAAGAAAGGCAUAUGUUAACUUUUCGUCAACAAUAAUAUCAGCGCUAGUUAAAUCCUGAUUAGGCACAUCAGAAGAGCUACCUGAAAUGGCAUAGUCGUGCUCCUUGUAUAUCUUAUGAAAUACGCUUAAAGAGUUUCGUGGCACGCUUGAGUGUUUUUUAAUGUUAUUCCAAUAUCAGAACGUCGUCUUGAUGGUAAACAUGUCCGAUGUACAAGAUGCAUUAAGUCUGGUUGCUCUCUUCGAAAAUAAAGAUGUUCAAACUUCAUAUUCUUCAUUGGGUCACAUUUUCCAUUACUUGGUAUUUUACGAAAACCAUACAAAUUCAGUUGCCUAACAAAUGAUGUAAAAUUAUUGGUUUUAAACAUUUCUUCUUCGUUUUCAAGAAUACUUUGCCUAAAAGACUCAAUAUCAGUGACAACAAUAUAACAGCCAUCUUCAGACCAAUGUAUAGCGUGUCGAUACUUUGGGUUGUUAAGAAGAAAACGAAGUUUGGAAACAAAAGGACUAAGUGGUUUAUUUUUCUUGGAAAAAUGCCGCAAGUGAAACGACAACAGAAUAAAAACGAGAACCAUAUUUUGGAAUAUUAUUUCGAAAUUCGAAACUGUCACGGUUCGAACGCAUAAUUAUUUUGAUAGUUUGAUUGAUCUUGCGUUUCAUAUAUGCAAACAGUAUGUUCUUUGUAUAAAAAAGGAAUUGAUUCGAAUAAUUUAGUAGUAAAAAAGAUGCUAACCUUGAUUUUUUAUGCAGUUAACAUUCUAUAAGACUAAACGACUUGCAACUUUGGAUAUUUAGUCAAAGUUCUUUAGAUUAAAAACAAUGUUUUUUAAAGUAUGAACAUAGAAAAAUAAAAAUGAAGUACAUUCUUACCAUUUCAGAAACUAUGGCAUAAUCAAACAAAAAAAUUCACGAAAAACUUACGCCAAAAAUGGGUUAACACCAGGUUUUCUUUGAGUUUACUUAUAUAUAUACCUUAUAAAUAUACUUACUUAUACCUUAAAAACAUAAUUACUUAUAAAUAUACACCUUUUUCUGACUCAGUAUAUAUAUUCUGUUAAUAAUAAAAGUAAAGUAUUUAUCGUUUAGUGUGCGAACGGGAGUAUUUUAUAUAUGUCAGCUCUGUGAAUUGAUCAUGUUUUGUAUCAUGGCUAAAGCUGUGAACACCUUGCCGCACAGUUACCAGGGAAUUUUGCUGCACAGUUACAAUGGAAUCUCCGAGAACAUCUUCUUGACAUAUAAUACAAUAACUCUAUACAUACAUUCUCCAUUCUAAAAGUAUAUUUAAACAAAAAUUAUUCCCAAAAAUGACAGUAUACAAACAAUUUCAGCAAUAUUUAACUUUUUGAUAUUAAAAAUAUAAUCUCUUUAAAAAUUACUUUUCUUUGAACACUAAAAUACUUCAUUGCAAAGCAAUCAAAUUUUAACGAAUCGUGAGAUUUCGCAAUAAAAAGAUUUCCCAAGAAUAUUCAAAAAAUUAAAUUUUUAAGUGCGCCCAGAAAAUCUAACAAUCUAAUCACAGAGCACCGCGAAAGUGCAUUUAACCAUUAAAUCUUAAAAGAAUGUUAUUAUCACAACCCACAAUAACAAAGUUUUUUUAUUUUCUUAAUAACAAAGUAUAUUACUUUUUUAAUAUAA